Molecule: long non-coding RNA, 1948 nt
Filed under: Helianthus annuus (common sunflower)
Lineage: Eukaryota; Viridiplantae; Streptophyta; Magnoliopsida; Asterales; Asteraceae
Description: hypothetical non coding rna
Source: RNAcentral
CACUUUUUGACAAACCCUAGAUCAGUACGCCAGUUCUUCUUCUUCAUUAUUCGUCGCUGAUAUAUAAUCCAAAACUGAAAAAACUGAUCGGUUGCAUCAGGUAUGUUGGGAAGAAGAUAGAUAUGGCAACGAAUGAUGGCGAAGAGAUAAGCUGUGAUGGGUUGGGUUGCAUCAGCCUCCUUCGAAGUCAACAACAGUAAUUCAAGUUGCAAUACUUGCUGGUCAACGUGAUACGCCUCCUUUAGAGUCAACAGCAGCAGCCGGAGUUACAACUUCUGUAGGUUAACAUGGAACUUCUGCACUGUCUUAAUGCUCAAUAGGGUCAACGUCAAAUCAAAGUCGAUUGAAGUUGUGCAGUCAAAAAAUAGAGAUUACAAAAGAUUACCCUUACAGGUCUAAAAAAUAUGAGGAAAGAGUUGCAGAUUAAGAUGGCUAAACUAUCUGAUACCCAAUGUUAAACAUGGUCAAUUCACUGGUGAUGAAGACAAGAUGAUCUGCAGUUUGUAUGCUAAUUUUGGUAGCAGGUUCAGAUGGCUUUGAAUUCGGGUUGGUUUUGGGUUGCAGUAUGCAACCAUGCCGAAGCUCCACCAUGUGGAUGUAAUUAAAAAGAAUUAUUUUAGGCUGCUCUUUGUUCUACACAGCUUGAUCAUGUUUAUUGAAAGUUGGUGCCUUUGCAGUUCUACAUAGCUUGAUCAUUGUUCUACACGACUCUUCGUCAAUCCUAACGUGUACCCUCAAAAUCUAACAUCUGAAACCGGGGACCCCAAAACAAUCGGCCAAACAGUGAUGAUGAUGGUUAUGAAUGCAAACGGCAGCGGUAUCAAGGAGUUGUAGCGGCGACCGUCUAGGGGUUAAGCGUGUGGAGACACUGAUGACUGUAUUUCAACUUCUGAGGCUGAAGAAAUGACCGUAAAACUUGAGGAAUAUUAGAUUAAAAAUCUACCUAGACCUGGACAAGUGAAUUUUUAUCAAUGGAGGCCCCUAUAUGCUAGGUACUCAUUUCUUAUACAAAGCUCUCUUAACUUAUUAGAACUCAUAUACAAAUUAGGGGUGUUAAAUGGGUCAUGUUCAUGAUUUGACUUAUCAAAACCAACACGACAUGAACCCGUGAAAAUCGUUCUAAAGAUGACAUUCUUGUAUCUAAUGAAUGCCUCACAUAUGACCAAUAUGCAACAGUUAGCCAAAUUCAUAGAUAUUCAACAACUCUCCUACGGUUUCUUAAUAAUAUAUUGGACAAAUGCAGUGUAAUAUUGUAAAAGAAUUAUAACCUGAAUUUAGAGAGAAAUAAUAUUGUCUCAUAGUAUAUAAGUUAUAUUCUAACAAAGUUACGAAUUGCAAAAAAUUAUGUAGUAACUCUUACAUAAAGUUUACUAAUGCUUUAGCUUCAUUAGUGUUUGUUUAUAUUGAUUGAAUUGUUUCGGAGGUAAUGUGCUUUUUUACCCUUUUCAAAAUCUUUGACAAAUACUUAGUGAGUUAUUAUAACUACAAAAACAAUAUUAUUAACUUUCGAUAUGUUUUUUAUCGAAAAGUUUAUAGAUACUUAUAAUAUUUUGAAUUUUCGAACAACAAUUUUUUUCCACCUAAAUAUGACAUAACCUUGAAUCUUUAUGAUUGUUGCAUUUUCAUGGGACGUUGGGUGCAUUCCGCGUGAAAGAAGAUGACAAACGGUGUGACUCCUUUGUUGGUGCUCUCCUAAUAACGAUUGUUGACGACCAAUCCAUUAAUAGAGGUACUUGACACCUUUGCAGAGAUCCAAGACAGUCAUAUUGUCGUAAGAGAAGUGGAAAGGAAGCUUCUUGAGUUGCAACAAGUGUGUAUAUGUGUAUAUAAAAGGAUAAUGUUAACAGAAUACUUUAUUUAAUCCAUGAUUAUAAGUAUGUAUUAAUCAUAAAUAGUUUUUAACAAAACUAACUUUCACAAGGUAAACUAAUAAUAGAAACUUUUGUGG